Molecule: ribosomal RNA, 391 nt
Filed under: uncultured bacterium
Lineage: Bacteria
Description: partial 16S ribosomal RNA
Rfam family: Bacterial small subunit ribosomal RNA
Source: RNAcentral
AUACGGAGGAUCCGAGCGUUAUCCGGAUUUAUUGGGUUUAAAGGGUGCGCAGGCGGCCAUUUAAGUCAGCGGUUAAAUCGUGGGGCUCAACCCCAUUCUGCCGUUGAUACUGGGUGGCUUGAUUGCGGUCGAGGUUGGCGGAAUUCGUUGUGUAGCGGUGAAAUGCAUAGAUAUGACGAAGAACACCGAUUGCGUAGGCAGCUGACCAGACCGCAAAUGACGCUCAUGCACGAAAGUGCGGGGAUCGAACAGGAUUAGAUACCCUGGUAGUCCACACAGUAAACGAUGAAUACUCGCUGUUUGCGAUAUACAGCAAGCGGCCAAGCGAAAGCAUUAAGUAUUCCACCUGGGGAGUACGCCGGCAACGGUGAAACUCAAAUGAAUUGACGGG